This 253-nucleotide ribosomal RNA is filed under the name uncultured bacterium. Its description in RNAcentral is "partial 16S ribosomal RNA". It matches the Rfam family "Bacterial small subunit ribosomal RNA", at positions 524 to 776 of the family's 1533-position model. The record is from RNAcentral.
UACAGAGGUCCCAAGCGUUGUUCGGAUUCACUGGGCGUAAAGGGUGCGUAGGCGGCCGGGUAAGUCUGAUGUGAAAUCCCGCAGCUCAACUGCGGAACGGCAUUGGAUACUAUUCGGCUCGAGGAGUGGAGGGGAGACUGGAAUACUUGGUGUAGCAGUGAAAUGCGUAGAUAUCAAGUGGAACACCAGUGGCGAAGGCGAGUCUCUGGACACUUCCUGACGCUGAGGCACGAAAGCCAGGGGAGCAAACGGG